UGAACUGUUUCUUCUUUGUCGUAGUAUAUCAAACAAUGUUCUGAACGAGUGAUCUUCUUCAAUGUCGAAUAAUGAUGCUUUCAUCUGCAGUCUCCAAUGCUGGAGGAUUCUCCUCUCUUUGCCUUUUGCAGGAUUAUUACCAAGCCAUCAUCCAUUCAACCAGACGGCUCCAAAGAUUUACCUUAAAUGAAUUGGGUCAGGACGAAAGUAAGGUUUCACCAUCCGAUUUUGUGACUCGGAUUCUCAGGAGAUGUGUUUGAACUCUAUGUAUGGUUUUGCUUCAUUUUUGUGUAUGUUUGGCUCCCAGCACGCUAGAGUUGAUACUUGCAGAGUUCAGCUAUCCAAGGGUGUCUGUUCUAUUACAAGGGCAAUUCUGAGGUUAGGUCGAAUUCGCUUAUUUUAUCUGAAAUUGAGCUUUAUACACUAAACAGGAUCGAGUAAGUUCCAGUUCUGAGGUUAGCUCCAUUUUGCUCUGUUUUGUGUCUAGUCUUGUUUAUUCGCUUUUCUUGCUUCAAGAGCGAUCAAAAUUGUUCGAUGUAAGUUCGUGUUGCUUUUAGCAAAACUGUUGUUAUAAGGGCAACGAGUAUAUUCGAACUUAUAAAGUUUUCAUAAUUGAUUGCUUAAUAAGUGUCGGGAGCACUCACGUUUGCCCCGUAAA
Molecule: long non-coding RNA, 658 nt
Organism: Syzygium oleosum
Lineage: Eukaryota; Viridiplantae; Streptophyta; Magnoliopsida; Myrtales; Myrtaceae
Exons: 2
Source: RefSeq, a predicted model, not a curated record